AGUAAAGUGGCAGAUAAAUGCCUUAGGUUUAAGCCCUAAUCAAGGAGUCUACUCCCUUUACUA
RNAcentral lists this transfer RNA (63 nucleotides) under Echyridella menziesii. RNAcentral describes it as "tRNA-Leu". The record is from RNAcentral. Lineage: Eukaryota; Metazoa; Mollusca; Bivalvia; Unionida; Hyriidae.